AUUGAACGCUGGCGGCAGGCCUAACACAUGCAAGUCGAACGAGUGGCGGACGGGUGAGUAAUGUCUGGGAAACUGCCCGAUGGAGGGGGAUAACUACUGGAAACGGUAGCUAAUACCGCAUACCAUCAGAUGUGCCCAGAUGGGAUUAGCUAGUUGGUGGGGUAACGGCUCACCAAGGCGACGAUCCCUAGCUGGUCUGAGAGGAUGACCAGCCAAACUGGAACGGAGAAACGGUCCAGACUCCUACGGGAGGCAGCAGUGGGGAAGAUUGCACAAUGGGCGAAAGCCUGAUGCAGCCAUGCCGCGUGUAUGAAGAAGGCCUUCGGGUUGUAAAGUACUUUCAGCGGGGAGGCGUUACUCGCAGAAGAAGCACCGGCUAACUCCGUGCCAGCAGCCGCGGUAAUAC
RNAcentral lists this ribosomal RNA (406 nucleotides) under uncultured bacterium. Its description in RNAcentral is "partial 16S ribosomal RNA". It matches the Rfam family "Bacterial small subunit ribosomal RNA", at positions 30 to 526 of the family's 1533-position model. The record is from RNAcentral.